UUGGUGGUGUCUGCUAGGUACUGUC
This 25-nucleotide non-coding RNA is filed under the name Mus musculus (house mouse). Lineage: Eukaryota; Metazoa; Chordata; Mammalia; Rodentia; Muridae. The record is from RNAcentral.